Molecule: long non-coding RNA, 262 nt
Filed under: Rhinolophus ferrumequinum (greater horseshoe bat)
Lineage: Eukaryota; Metazoa; Chordata; Mammalia; Chiroptera; Rhinolophidae
Description: lncRNA (ENSRFEG00010001032.1)
Source: RNAcentral
ACCAACUCUAUUGCGCUGCGCACUGCCGUGCGUUUAACCCAGGCGAGGAGGAGGAGGAGAAAAUUCCCCCAGAUCCGGGCAGGUCUGUCUGCCUUUUUGGCCCUGCACAGCUACAAGCUUGGUGGAAAAGGGCAAACUGCUCCUGCUCCCAGCAGGUCCUGCUUGGCUUGGAGUCUCUGCAGAACUUGCGAGCCUGAGCUGAAGUGCCUUGCCCUGACGUGUACACAUCCCGCUUGGGCAAGUCAGUUCCACGCCUGAUCAG